This is a long non-coding RNA of Phyllopteryx taeniolatus (common seadragon), 3556 nucleotides long. RefSeq lists it as uncharacterized. NCBI's taxonomy places the organism in Eukaryota, Metazoa, Chordata, Actinopteri, Syngnathiformes, Syngnathidae. The transcript is spliced from 4 exons. The record is from RefSeq and is a predicted model, not a curated record.
AGGGGGAUCUGCCCAACGCCGUAGCCACAGUAGUGGCCCCAGGCAGCGAUGAACACUGUUCAGCCAUUUCAGUGUGAUCAGGAAAAUGAGGAGAGAGAGGACGAAACAAGAAAUGAGGAUGAAGAUGACAGGGUUCGUGCUGCCCGUUCGACAACGGCUAAUUGAAAGAGGAUGUGGGUCACGGGCGUGCUGGAGCCUAGCCCAGCUAUCUUCGGGCGAGAGGCAGGCUACACCCUGAACUGGUCGCCAGAACAUCUGGAUGUUGUAAAGAGUUGGAUCAUCUUCCAGAGGAGCCAGUUGCUGGAGACACAGCUGCUCGCAACCUCCAUUGAAACCAUCAGAGCAAUCAAUGCCAAUGUGGUGGUCAUAGCAUCCACUCCCAUCUUUCAUAGGACUCAACCCUGGGGGGCACUGAAGGAGAAGUGUUGUAAAACAAUUCAGUCAAAUCUUUCUUUUUGUUUUUACUGGCAUAUGAGACACAAAUAUACAAAGAUUCCAAACGAUCACUAAUCCCAGGUGACCUACAGUAUGAACAAAUCCAGUAACGCUUGUGCCAGUCAUUUCACUUCCCAUUUGUGUGAACUGUCUCCAAAGCUGUUUGGUAUAAAAUCCACACAUCUUUAACGGCUAUAAUGAAUCUUUAGUAGCACUUGUGAAAAUAACUGCAAACAAGCAAUAAUGAUCCUUAGUCAAAAUGGAAAUUUAAAUUUCACAUAAAAUAUCUCUGUAUUAUUCUUGAAGGACAAAAAAUAUACAGUCGUCGUUUCAUUCUUUUUUGUUCAUUUGUAUUGAGAAGGUAGUUCUUCCUCGCAUACUCGAUUGAAAAAAACAUUUUUCAUAGCAAGGCUAAGGUGAGAUUUGGCAUCAUAUUAUUGGGAAAGUGCAGAAUUGUUUUCAAGAGAGGAACACGGUUUUAGUGAGAAAUGUUAGCGAGUAAUGUAACUCUUUAUAGGGUGCAAAUAGUUGUCUGACAUAUCAAGAAUAGUAGGAUCGUCUUUACAUCUUCUCUUGACCAAUAAAUCCCACCACUUCUUGGCGCCACCAUACAUCACCGACCUUGCCAUCCCUACACCCCUGCCCGAAAGAUGCGCUCAUCUGGCGCUGGCCUGCUCCCAAUCCCAGACAGGCAGGGCUUUCUGCAUCACCCCCAACCCCCGGAACCAUGUGAUGCUGAAUCCCAGGAGAUUUCAAGAAAAACUCCUGAAGCACCACCAAAGCAUACCACCAGUAACAGGAAUACACACACACACACACACACGUGUAUCUGCAGUUUUUUUUUUAUUAUUUUCUUUUUUUUUACAAAUGAGUGACCAAUCUAUAGUGUUGACACUGGCUUGCUCUCUUUGAUGGAUGCCUUUCUGAAAAGACUUUUGGAGAUGCCAGGAUUCCGACCAAUGCCACUGAUAGCUAGCUAGCUAGAUAGAUCGAUCGAUCGAUAGAUACUGUACAUCCAUACAUUCAAGACAAAAACUUUAAAAUCCCAUUUUCUUGAGACAGAUGAAUUUAUCUUCAUACUGUAAUUUCCAGACUACAUAAAAGCUGUGAGAUACAUACAUGAAGAAAAACCUUUAAAGCCCAGCCACGGUGACUUGUGAAGUAUUCAAGUUUUGAGCAACCAUUUGAAGUGCUGCAAGACCUGACUUCUCCUUGGUUUCCUACUUUGCAAUCGUGCUCAGUAUUUCCCUAACAUUUUUUUUCCCACAAACCUGUGAAGUCAAAUUCACAUUAUGUUUCCUGUCAGCUAUCACUUCAAAGAAAACUUGGAGUACAUUUUAACAAGGCAAUCCUACCUUCUGAACAGUAGGCAAGGGAGACAGCUUUCUUGAAGCACAGAGGUAUAACUAACACCUUUUUUUGGUGUUGUUUUUGUGUUGACUACUCUAUACUCAGAUAUUAUUUUUAUAUAGAACAUUGUUUGGCACGCUGUUGGUGCUGAAAGCAGUUUUCCCCAUUUGCGCCCUGCCCACCUCCUUUUGGCCACAGCCGUGCUCACCAUCAGAUAAUCGCAAUAAACGAUAGUAGCAGACAAGACAAACACCUUCAAACAAAAUGGUGUAUGAGCUGGAGCCUAUCCCAGUGGGUUUUAGGUGAGAGGCGGGGUACAUCUCGCACUGGUCGCCAGCCAAUCGCAGAGCACAUAUAGACGAACAACCACUCAUACUUACGUUGACUUUAGAGUCUUCAAUUAACCUAACAUGCAUGUUUUUGGAAUAUGGGAGGAAGCACAGGGGAGCCUAUGACAGGGAAGUGAUUGACUGUCAGGCAGUAGUGCUAACCACCCGCUCACCGUGCUGCUAAAUGUAUGAGUGCCUUCACUUACAAGUUUUUAGAGAUACGAGCCACCGCUUGGUUGAUUUAUGUCUUGAGCUAUGAGCACAUAUUUGAGAUAGUGUGCUAUUCAGACUCCCACCGCAAAACUUCAGUUCACCAUCAAUACACAUUGGUUUCCUUGCAUUGGAAGGACAAUAUCAGUUGGUGCACACCGCGUACACCAUUAAGGGUUGCCGACUGCCAAAAGUCACCACAGAAGAUGAAGACCGAGGAAGGACAAUACAUUAAGUACAGCUGUGUUUUGUGCACGCAUUUCCCAUGCUACUGUGUGUGCACAGCAAAUGUUAGUUAUGUGUUUUUACACAGUACAACAUUACUGUUGAGUGAAAUUUCUCCUCAGAAAAAUGAAUUUGGGUGUUUUGGGGGUGCUGGAAUGGAUUCACUGCAGUUAUAUUAAUUUUAUAGGGAAAGAUGACUUUGAUGAUGUUAUGUGUUUGAGAUACGAGCGUUGUCACGGUAAAAAAAUAAUCUCGUAUCUCAAGGCACCUAUUGUAUAUUAUAAUGACUAAUCUCAGUUAAACAAAAUAACCAUUGUAUCAGAUUGUUUAAAAGCUGGACAGUGUUUGAAGUGUAUGGUCUGUAGCGUAAUUUAGGAGCAAUAGUCUGCACUCAAGAAACCCCCUUGAAGUACCAUGCCUUUUAAUCCUCUUUUUCAAUGGAGAUAAAUUCCUACAGCGCUUUUGGAGCUUAAGGAAAUCAGCACUGUGCCACUGCCAAGCAGCAACAAAUCACCACGAGAGGAGUUGGAUAAACUGAACACGUUUCGAAGUUGUCUGAUUGGUAGAUCAAUGACGAGGCACAUAGAUUGAGAAACUGAGACAUGGAGACCCAAUUACUCCUGAAACUACAUUACUCAUUUGAUUUACAGUAUGUACAUGCUGCAUGUAAUGUAAUAAAUCUGGUAAACCUACAUACAUAGAUCAUUUUACACUUGAGGCAACGUGAAUCCCAGGAUGCACAUGUUUGGAAACAAUGAGUCCCUGACCUGGAACAAUGAGUCCCUGUAAUGUAUCAUCUCGGAUUACAGAUACAGUAAUCCUCCACGAUAUGAUGGUUGUUGCUUCGCGGUCCUGCCAUAUUGCAGAUUUUUAAUUGUACAAUUUGUACCAUAUUUUUGUGUUACCCAUUGCUCUCGCUCUCUCUCAAUAUAUUAUGUUUCAGCCUGUGAUGAAAGCAAAUUUUUUAGGAUGAUAUAUUUUCCCCAAAUCUAUCACGAUAAACGAUA